Molecule: non-coding RNA, 90 nt
Organism: Caenorhabditis elegans
Lineage: Eukaryota; Metazoa; Nematoda; Chromadorea; Rhabditida; Rhabditidae
Source: Ensembl
UGGAUUACGUCUAAUGUGAAUUUACAUGCACUAACGUCAGGCGUGAAAAUUUGAUUAGAGUUGAUUUCAAAGUUGAUGUUUCGACUACUU